UGACUGGGGCGGUCGCCUCCCAAAGAGUAACGGAGGCGCCCAAAGGUUCCCUCAGGCUGGUCGGCAAUCAGCCGUCGAGUGUAAAGACAAAAGGGAGCUUGACUGCGAGACGGACACGUCGAGCAGGGACGAAAGUCGGGCUUAGUGAUCCGGUGGUCCUGGGUGGAAGGGCCAUCGCUCAACGGAUAAAAGGUACGCCGGGGAUAACAGGCUGAUCUCCCCCAAGAGUUCACAUCGACGGGGAGGUUUGGCACCUCGAUGUCGGCUCAUCGCAUCCUGGGGCUGAAGCGGGUCCCAAGGGUCGGGCUGUUCGCCCGUUAAAGCGGUACGAGAGUUGGGUUCAGAACGUCGUGAGACAGUUCGGUCCCUAUCUGUUGUGGGCGUAGGAGAUUUGAGAGGGUCUGUCUCUAGUACGAGAGGAUUGAGAUGGACGGACCUCUAGUGUGCCGGUUGUCGCGCCAGCGGCAGCGCCGGGUAGCUAUGUCCGGUUUGGAUAACCGCUGAAAGCAUCUAAGCGGGAAGCCAGCCUCAAGACAAGAUCUCCCGGAGGGUAACCUCCCUAAAGGCCACUCGUAGACGACGAGUUUGAUAGGCUGGAUGUGGAAGAGCUGUAAGGCUUGAAGCUAACCAGUACUAAUCGGCCGUGCGACUUAACAUC
This 658-nucleotide ribosomal RNA is filed under the name Nitrospira sp. SB0672_bin_25. RNAcentral describes it as "partial 23S ribosomal RNA". It matches the Rfam family "Bacterial large subunit ribosomal RNA", at positions 2270 to 2925 of the family's 2925-position model. Lineage: Bacteria; Pseudomonadati; Nitrospirota; Nitrospiria; Nitrospirales; Nitrospiraceae. The record is from RNAcentral.